AGAGUUUGAUCCUGGCUCAGGAUAAACGCUGGCGGCGUGCGUAACACAUGCAAGUUGAGCGACGACGUUCUGAAGUGGAGACAUGGAAGGGCGAGCGGAGCAGCGGACGGGUGAGUACAACAUGAGAAGCUGUCCUGAAGUGGGGGACAACGUCUGGAAACGGACGCUAAUACCCCAUAGGCCGAGAGGUUAAAGCCGUAAGGCGCUUUAGGAGGUGCUCGUGUCCUAUCAGCUAGUUGGUGAGGUAAGGGCUCACCAAGGCGACGACGGGUAGCCGGCCUGAGAGGGUGUACGGCCACACUGGGACUGAGAUACGGCCCAGACUCCUACGGGAGGCAGCAGUGGGGAAUAUUGGGCAAUGGGAGGAAAUCCUGACCCAGCGACGCCGCGUGAACGAAGACGGCCUUAGGGUUGUAAAGUUCUUUUAUGUGGGAAGAAGGAAGUGACGGUACCACAUGAAUAAGCCCCGGCUAACUACGUGCCAGCCGCCGC
RNAcentral lists this ribosomal RNA (492 nucleotides) under uncultured bacterium. RNAcentral's name for it is "bacterial SSU rRNA". It matches the Rfam family "Bacterial small subunit ribosomal RNA", at positions 8 to 518 of the family's 1533-position model. The record is from RNAcentral.